AAAAAACAAAUCCACCCCCCCCCAAAAAAAUAAUAAAAAUCUAUGUUUUCCCAGCGCCUUCCAAAGUUCCACAAGGACAAAACCUAGGCGCUGAUGACAGCCAAGCCGUUGGCUACCCAAGACUGAGGACUAGGCAGGUGACAGCCCUGGGUGACACCCUCACUGAAGACAGCUGGGGUGUGAGGAGCAGCGCACAGGUGACAGCGGGAACCCAGGGCUCUGAACAGCUGGCUCUCUGGUCACAGCAGCAAGAAGAGCACUCAGGAGUUGUUUGUCUCAGACAGGGUCUCUCCAGGCAGCCCAAAAUGGCCUCAAAAUCCUGGGAGAAUUUGGUGGUGUAGGGAUCAAACCCAGGACCUUAUUUAUGCACACGAGCUCCCUUUGUCCAAGUUGGACAGUGGCACCGGGAGGAAGGCUGAGAGGGUGGCUGCACUCCUGACACACGGCAGCGUGGACACUUGAAGUAGGUGACGCCUGUUGAACUGAGCUGAUCCCAGCUGAGGGGUGGACAAGGUCUAGGAAUUCCUGAAUUAAGCAGGUGACCCACCCAGCUGCCGGAGCAGUCAAGACGAGGACCUCCAAGAGAAGCUAGACAACUUCCACCGGAACUCAGCCUGGAGUCUGGGGGGAAGGGUUUGCCCAAACUGUUAAAAGGUCUGGCGCCAUUAAAGUU
Molecule: long non-coding RNA, 673 nt
Organism: Apodemus sylvaticus (European woodmouse)
Lineage: Eukaryota; Metazoa; Chordata; Mammalia; Rodentia; Muridae
Exons: 5
Source: RefSeq, a predicted model, not a curated record